RNAcentral lists this ribosomal RNA (464 nucleotides) under uncultured Desulfobulbus sp. RNAcentral's name for it is "bacterial SSU rRNA". It matches the Rfam family "Bacterial small subunit ribosomal RNA", at positions 925 to 1382 of the family's 1533-position model. The record is from RNAcentral. Lineage: Bacteria; Pseudomonadati; Thermodesulfobacteriota; Desulfobulbia; Desulfobulbales; Desulfobulbaceae.
ACAAGCGGUGGAGUAUGUGGCUAAUUCGAUGCAACGCGAAGAACCUUACCUGGUCUUGACAUCCCGGAGACCCUUAGGAAACUGGGGGGUGGCUUCCAUCUGGAAGAAUCUGGAGACAGGUGCUGCAUGGCUGUCGUCAGCUCGUGUCGUGAGAUGUUGGGGUUAAGUCCCGCAACGAGCGCAACCCUUGCCUUUAGUUGCCAGCAGUUCGGCUGGGCACUCUAAAGGGACUGCCGGUGUUAAACCGGAGGAAGGUGGGGAUGACGUCAAGUCCUCAUGGCCUUUAUGACCAGGGCUACACACGUACUACAAUGGCCGAUACAAAGGGCAGCGACACUGCGAGGUGAAGCCAAUCCCGUAAAAUCGGUCUCAGUCCGGAUUGGAGUCUGCAACUCGACUCCAUGAAGUUGGAAUCGCUAGUAAUCGUGGAUCAGCAUGCCACGGUGAAUACGUUCCCGGGCCUU